RNAcentral lists this long non-coding RNA (811 nucleotides) under Musa acuminata (dwarf banana). Its description in RNAcentral is "long non-coding RNA (MACU_LNC004306)". The record is from RNAcentral. Lineage: Eukaryota; Viridiplantae; Streptophyta; Magnoliopsida; Zingiberales; Musaceae.
UUAAUUACUCAACAAGUUAAUAUAUUAUUCGUCCCAUCGAAUCGUAAAGUUAAUAAGUCAAUUAUCCCAUAAAUCUAUGGUGAAGAAUACUUAUAUGAGAUGUCAUGGAACACUAAAAGAAUUCAUAGAAUAUAUAGAUCAGCCACUUGGGUAUCCCAUCAAACCUUCGAUCAUUGAUUCGUUUGAUCUGUAUUAUGUGUUGAAUCGUUGGAGCGUUUGGUUUCUACUUAUAUGAGCCUAUGCACGCACGACGUACGCUUUGACUCGUUCAUGCACCGGUCUGCAUCAUCUCAAACACAAAGUCUCAGCUUUCACAAAACACCAGUCUGAGAUUUCAGGACGAGGGGAGGGGGUAAAACCGGAGAACACCGAGCAAACAGUACCCAACCUUUAGAUUUCAGGACGAGGCAUCAUGUUAUUAUCACAAGGGAGCCUAAGACGAAGCAAGAGGACAACCAUAGAUAGCGUGAGCAGAUGCCACGAGCCCCGAAUCCCACCUCCGCUCAUUGCUGCUUCGAACUCUUCGCCGCUGCCGGUUUCCCACCCUUCGCCUGCCAAAAACACGGCUUAGAUAAUGAUACCCGUAUCGAGGACGAGUUCUACGGAGGUACCUUCCUCUUGGGCUCCCGAGGCUUUUGCCCAGCUCUCUUCGGGGCCUUCUUCGAGGCCGGCGCCCUCGGCGCGCCCUCGCCGGCCAUGGCCGCAGCUUCCUUGCUCUUUUCCAUGAUCCCUACAGGUUUCGCCGCCUUCGCCGACGCCAUUCUUCUUCUUCUUCCUUCCUCUUACUCUUCAAGUCUCUCUCCACUCGACA